AGUUAAUGAGCUUGAAUAAGCAUAUGUUUUGAAAACAUAAUAUAGAAAUAAAAACUUUCUAUUAGCUU
RNAcentral lists this transfer RNA (68 nucleotides) under Diamesa sp. 3XL. RNAcentral describes it as "tRNA-Ser". Lineage: Eukaryota; Metazoa; Arthropoda; Insecta; Diptera; Chironomidae. The record is from RNAcentral.